Molecule: ribosomal RNA, 293 nt
Filed under: Enterococcus faecium
Lineage: Bacteria; Bacillati; Bacillota; Bacilli; Lactobacillales; Enterococcaceae
Description: partial 16S ribosomal RNA
Rfam family: Bacterial small subunit ribosomal RNA
Source: RNAcentral
UUGCGAAGUCGCGAGGCUAAGCUAAUCUCUUAAAGCUUCUCUCAGUUCGGAUUGCAGGCUGCAACUCGCCUGCAUGAAGCCGGAAUCGCUAGUAAUCGCGGAUCAGCACGCCGCGGUGAAUACGUUCCCGGGCCUUGUACACACCGCCCGUCACACCACGAGAGUUUGUAACACCCGAAGUCGGUGAGGUAACCUUUUGGAGCCAGCCGCCUAAGGUGGGAUAGAUGAUUGGGGUGAAGUCGUAACAAGGUAGCCGUAUCGGAAGGUGCGGCUGGAUCACCUCCUUUCUAAGG